UGGGGGAUAUUGCACAAUGGGCGAAAGCCUGAUGCAGCGACGCCGCGUGGGGGAUGAAGGCCUUCGGGUUGUAAACUUCUUUUGCUCUGAACGAGGCGCACCAUGGGGUGUGUUGAGUGUAGGGGUUGAUUAGCGCCGGCUAACUACGUGCCAGCAGCCGCGGUAAUACGUAGGGCGCGAGCGUUGUCCGGAAUUAUUGGGCGUAAAGGGCUUGUAGGUGGCUGGUUGCGUCUGUCGUGAAAGCUCAUGGCUUAACUGUGGGUUUGCGGUGGGUACGGGCUGGCUUGAGUGCAGUAGGGGAGGCUGGAAUUCCUGGUGUAGCGGUGGAAUGCGCAGAUAUCAGGAGGAAUACCGGUGGCGAAGGCGGGUCUCUGGGCUGUUACUGACACUGAGGAGCGAAAGCAUGGGGAGCGAACAGG
RNAcentral lists this ribosomal RNA (419 nucleotides) under bacterium. RNAcentral describes it as "partial 16S ribosomal RNA". It matches the Rfam family "Bacterial small subunit ribosomal RNA", at positions 355 to 776 of the family's 1533-position model. The record is from RNAcentral.